RNAcentral lists this ribosomal RNA (661 nucleotides) under uncultured Suillus. RNAcentral describes it as "eukaryotic LSU rRNA". The stretch from base 230 to 384 matches the Rfam family "5.8S ribosomal RNA". The record is from RNAcentral. Lineage: Eukaryota; Fungi; Basidiomycota; Agaricomycetes; Boletales; Suillaceae.
ACCUGCGGAAGGAUCAUUAAAGAAAUAAUCUCGAGGGCCGAUGGAAAGGAGAGAGGGUUGUAGCUGGCGUAAGCACGUGCACGCCCUCUUUCUCGACCUAGGUCCUUAUGGGCGCGGGGCGACCCGCGUCUUCAUAAGCCCCUUCGUGUAGAAAGUCAAUGAAUGUUUUUUUACCAUCAUCGACUCGCGACUUCUAGGAGACGCGAUUCUUUGAGACAAAAGUUAUUACAACUUUCAGCAAUGGAUCUCUUGGCUCUCGCAUCGAUGAAGAACGCAGCGAAUCGCGAUAUGUAAUGUGAAUUGCAGAUCUACAGUGAAUCAUCGAAUCUUUGAACGCACCUUGCGCUUAUCGGUGUUCCGAUGAGCAUGCCUGUUUGAGCGUCAUUAAAUUCUCAACCCCUCUCGAUUUGCUUCGAGAGGGUGCUUGGAUAGUGGAGGCUGCCGGAGACCUGUUUUUUCAGGACUCGGGCUCCUCUGAAAUGUAUUGGCUUGCGGUCGACUUUCGACUGUGCAUGACAAGGCCUUUGGCGUGAUAAUGAUCGCCGCUCGCCGAAGUGCACGAACGAAUGGUCUCGUGCCCCUAAUCAGUCGAUGUCUUUUCGAAGGCGUCUUCCUUAUUGACGUUUGACCUCAAAUCAGGUAGGACUACCCGCUGAACUUA